CACUUCUAAGGAAGGCAGCAGGCGCGCAAAUUACCCAAUCCCGACUCAGGGAGGUAGUGACAAGAAAUAACAAUAAACCGGCUUAUGCCGGUUUAAUUGGAAUGAGUACAAUUUAAACAUCUUAACGAGGAACAAUUGGAGGGCAAGUCUGGUGCCAGCAGCCGCGGUAAUUCCAGCUCCAAUAGCGUAUACUAAAGUUGUUGCAGUUAAAAAGCUCGUAGUUGGAUUUCUGUGGGGACGGAGCGGCCGGCCGCAACACGCGGUUCGAGCUAGCGCUUUCCCUACAUCCUGCCGCGAACCGUGCUACCAUUAACUUGGUGGCGCCGGGGAUCGGCUCGAUUACUUUGAGAAAAAUAGAGUGUUCAAAGCAGGCCACAUGCCUUGAAUAAGUUAGCAUGGAAUAAUAACUAAGGACUUCGGUUCUAUUUUGUUGGUGUUCGGGACUGAAGUAAUGAUUGAUAGGGACAGUUGGGGCGGUCUGUAUUCCAAAGCGAGAGGUGAAAUUCUUAGACCUUCGGAAGACAAACAGCUGCGAAAGCGUUCCGCAAGGAUGUUCCCUUUGAUCAAGAACGAAAGUUGGGGGAUCGAAGACGAUCAGAUACCGUCGUAGUCUCAACUAUAAACUAUACCAGCUAGGGAUCGGCCAACGUUAUUUCAUACCGACUUGGUCGGCACCUUAUGAGAAAUCAAAGCAUCUGGGUUCCGGGGGGAGUAUGGUCGCAAGGCUGAAACUUAAAGGAAUUGACGGAAGGGCACCACCAGCCGUGGAGCCUGUGGCUUAAUUUGACUCAACACGGGAAAACUUACCAGGUCCAGACAUAGUAAGGAUUGACAGAUUGAUAGCUCUUUCUUGAUUCUGUGGGUGGUGGUGCAUGGCCGUUCUUAGUUGGUGGAGUGAUUUGUCUGGUUAAUUCCGUUAACGAACGAGACCCCAGCCUGCUAAAUAGCGCGCGUGAGCUUUGCUCGCGGCGAGCUUCUUAGAGGGACUCUGAUGCGCGAUAGCACAUGGAAAUUUGGGGCAAAACCAGGCCUGUGAUGCCCAUCGCCGACCUGCAAGCAUGGCAGCUUGGCCCUGGCCCGUCGUAACCC
This 1089-nucleotide ribosomal RNA is filed under the name uncultured marine eukaryote. RNAcentral describes it as "SSU rRNA". It matches the Rfam family "Eukaryotic small subunit ribosomal RNA", at positions 411 to 1518 of the family's 1831-position model. The record is from RNAcentral.